Molecule: ribosomal RNA, 253 nt
Filed under: uncultured bacterium
Lineage: Bacteria
Description: partial 16S ribosomal RNA
Rfam family: Bacterial small subunit ribosomal RNA
Source: RNAcentral
GACAGAGGUUGCAAACGUUGUUCGGAAUCACUGGGCAUAAAGCGCACGUAGGCGGUCUGUUAAGUCAGGUGUGAAAGCCCCCGGCUCAACCGGGGAAUAGCAUUUGAUACUGGCAGACUCGAGGAUGGUAGGGGUGAGUGGAACUCCAGGUGGAGCGGUGAAAUGCGUAGAUAUCUGGAGGAACACCGGUGGCGAAAGCGGCUCACUGGACCAUAACUGACGCUGAGGUGCGAAAGCUAGGGUAGCAAACGGG